Molecule: long non-coding RNA, 162 nt
Organism: Leguminivora glycinivorella
Lineage: Eukaryota; Metazoa; Arthropoda; Insecta; Lepidoptera; Tortricidae
Exons: 3
Source: RefSeq, a predicted model, not a curated record
UCGCGUUGGAUAAAACACUUCGAUUAUUUGAUAAAUUAACUUGUGUUAUCCUGAAGGGGACUGUGAAGAACAUAACACCUUGUUGAAAGUUAAGAGAUGCCGAGCAUGUCGAGCUGCAGCAGGCGGUGGUAGAGGCGCUCGCCCUGCGCGUGGUUCAUGAAG